UGCCGACUUUUGAGUAUUGUUCUGAGAUUAGAUUUAAUUGUUCAAGUUCUCGUUUCCGUAAGAAGAAGGCUAAAAGUAUAGAAAAGGCCAAAAAAAGAAAAAAAAAGAAAAAGCGGCAAGUAAUAGCAAAAGAAGGAAUAUUGCCAAAUAAAAAGAAGACAGAGAAAAGAAGAGGAGGAGGAAGAAAAGAAAGAUACACUCGUUCGUACGCCGCUUGAGGCUCCAAAGUUUAUCCUCCGUCAUGAUGCACUGGAUACAACCCACAUCGAGGAGCCGUCGUCCAUAUUUCCUCAACUCUUCCCCCUCGGUUUCUUUUCGCAUCAAAACUUUGACCUGCCCUGUUCAAGUCCACACGUCAUCCCUGCAAGCCAUCAACCCCAAAAAAAAAAAAAAAAGUCAAACCCUGUGCUGAGUCAAAUCUUCCAAACAUUUUUUAGUACAUCAUUUACGAUUAAUUUGACAGAUGCAUGUUUUUAUCAGUAUUAGGACGUAGCUGCAUAUACACGGAAGCGGGGCGGGACGGUAAUCAGAAGGAGAGCUGUUCACGAUUAAGAUUUGGCUAAAAAAAUUUGUACGGUUCAGAUUUCAUCUUGUAUUUCAAUUUUAACAACAUGUGUGAGACUCAUAAAAUUUUGUUCUAAAAUUACACGUUGUUAAAAGUAAGUUACACCAUGUGCAAACAAAGUUACGCGCUGUGCAAAAUGCACAUAACUGCCUAGAACGAUUACACAUGCCCGUGGUCUGCAUAUACACAUACUCGUAAUUAAUUAUAACAAUACUAUAUGGUAAUUAAUUUUAUCACAUCCAUCCGGUGACGUAAUUGUUUGUCAAUCCUAAUCUAUUCACAGCAGUUGGUGUUGGCCUUCUAUUUUCAACAUGCAUGCUGCCAACUUGGAAUUAAAUGAUUUUGUAAAACCAUGCAACAUGAAAAUUGCCUUAGCAUCAUGCAUGGCGACAUCAUAAACUUCUUCCCGCUCCAAAUUAAGAAAAUAAAUUUGUGCCCAACCGUCCCAAAUGAUUUUGGGAUGUGAUUGCACCGGAUCACUAGUUUGAGCCUUCCAUUCUCAUCUAACACUGAUUGAAAAAUUACAUUAUUAUUUAGCCCAAGCCCAGGUGAUCUCAUCACGAAUUGGUAAAGCUAUAUGAGGAAGGUUCAACUGAUGACAAAGAAUAAGAAACUCAUCCGUAUUUGAUUAAAAAAUUAGGAAACCAAAUUAAUGUCUCAUUAAUUGCAAAAACCUUGUGGACCCUUGUCGAUAGCUAAAUUAGCUAUUAACGAAAGAGGACAUAGUCUGGAUCCUUAGAAUGGUAAUGGUAAUGACCCUUCAAUGACGAUGGGUUUUUGUGAAAACCCCCUCAAAACUGAAGCUCCAUGAGAUGAUGCCCUUCUGCUAAGUCAGGCGAUCGUUUAGAGUCAGGAUUGGAGGGGUUAUUCAAAGGCAAGCCUUUGAGCAUCCAAAAUUGAUGGCAAAAUUUAAUAAAUAGACCUCCAGCUUCUUUUUCUGUUUUCUUUUCUUUUUCUUUUUUUUUCUAUUUUUCUUUACCUUUUUAAUUCCUUCCUUCCCAUCUCCUGCUCUCUUGUAGUGCCAAU
This 1591-nucleotide long non-coding RNA is filed under the name Coffea arabica (coffee). RNAcentral describes it as "long non-coding RNA (CARA_LNC001055)". The record is from RNAcentral. Lineage: Eukaryota; Viridiplantae; Streptophyta; Magnoliopsida; Gentianales; Rubiaceae.